ACGAAGGGUGCAAGCGUUGCUCGGAAUUAUUGGGCGUAAAGGGUUGGUAGGUGGUCUUGUUUGUCUAAGGUGAAAUCCCAUGGCUUAACUGUGGAAGUGCCUUAGAAACGGCAAGACUAGAGUCCUAGAGGGGUUUGUGGAAUUCCCGGUGUAGCGGUGAAAUGCGUAGAGAUCGGGAGGAACACCAGCGGCGAAGGCGGCAAACUGGAUAGGCACUGACACUCAACAACGAAAGCGUGGGGAGCAAACAGGA
Molecule: ribosomal RNA, 253 nt
Filed under: uncultured prokaryote
Description: partial 16S ribosomal RNA
Rfam family: Bacterial small subunit ribosomal RNA
Source: RNAcentral